Molecule: long non-coding RNA, 666 nt
Organism: Ipomoea nil (Japanese morning glory)
Lineage: Eukaryota; Viridiplantae; Streptophyta; Magnoliopsida; Solanales; Convolvulaceae
Exons: 2
Source: RefSeq, a predicted model, not a curated record
AAAAAUGCAAAUGCAAUUGCAGGUUUUGCAAUCUCCCUCGUCUCCACAAACCCUAGCAUUAGGCGACUGCGAGACUCGGCGACCAUCAUCGGAGAGAGAAGCUUCGACGACGAACAGGGGAGGGGACGAUGAAGGGCUUGAGCAUCGGCGACGAAGAAGGAGUAACAGCGACGACAAGCCUAGAGGCGUGAGCAGACCGGUGGUGACCUCCAGCAGCUACGAACAGCGUCAACAGCGAGGAUAGACGCCACAUCUCCGGCAGCGUUCGUGUUCCCAAGUUGUGUUCCAUUAUGCCUAAAACUCUAAACUAAUCGUAGAAUGUGAAGUGUUUGGUUUUAGUAUGUUUUUCUCAUUUUUUAUCCUUGCGCUGGUGUUUAGAUCUGCUAAUCAAUUGAUUUCUUCGCAUGUGUAAUUAAUUAAUUAUGAAUCUUUGUUGGUUUAAUUCUGAAUCAGUUUUUCUUUUUCAAGGGAUAAGAUGGAAUCUAUGGACAUAGUUGGUAAAUCGAAAGAGGAUGCUUCGCUUCCCAAAGGUUUUUAUUUUUCCAGUUUUGUGUCUUGAAUUCUCGAUUCGUUGUUGUAGUUUUUGUUGGUGCUAUUGUAUUUGAUUCAUGGUUUUGCCACAAGGAUUUUUAUGGUUGAAUUAUUCUGCAAAGAUGUUUUCUUUUC